This 190-nucleotide long non-coding RNA is filed under the name Pongo abelii (Sumatran orangutan). RNAcentral describes it as "lincRNA". Lineage: Eukaryota; Metazoa; Chordata; Mammalia; Primates; Hominidae. The record is from RNAcentral.
GUUUUUCUGGUAUUGUCUGCCCGGCUGCUCCAAGCCAGACUGAUGAAAGAGGAGUCCCCUGUGGUGAGUUGGAGGUUGGAGCCUGAAGAUGGCACAGCUCUGUGAUUCAUCUCCUGCGGUUGUGGCGGCCACGGUGAUGGAGACUGCAGCUCAACAGGAGCGGUAGGAGGGUACCCGUGGAGGCCAAGUG